GACGAACUGCCCAAACGUUGUUCGGAAUCACUGGGCUUAAAGGGCGCGUAGGCGGCAGAUCAAGUCAGGGGUGAAAUCCGGCAGCUCAACUGUCGAAGUGCCUUUGAUACUGAUUUGCUCGAGGGAGAUAGGGGUCUGCGGAACUUCUGGUGGAGCGGUGAAAUGCGUUGAUAUCAGAAGGAACGCCGGUGGCGAAAGCGGCGGACUGGAUCUCUUCUGACGCUGAGGCGCGAAAGCGUGGGGAGCAAACAGG
This 253-nucleotide ribosomal RNA is filed under the name uncultured bacterium. RNAcentral's name for it is "partial 16S ribosomal RNA". It matches the Rfam family "Bacterial small subunit ribosomal RNA", at positions 524 to 776 of the family's 1533-position model. The record is from RNAcentral.